UGGUAAAAUAAUUUUAAUAUAUCAAUAGAGCAGGUAUUGCUGUGGUACACAGAUAUGCUUUAUUGCAUUGAACAAGUAGUGGUCAACAGCAGUUUCACAACUAGGCUGGGAUUAACAACAGACUUUGUAUGGACUUUAUACACUGUAUAAAACCCAAAUUAAACAAAAAUACACUUACCCUGGAAUAACAUUCAGCUUCCAGUCACAUCUCUGCAUGAAAAUUGCUGCUUCCAAAUCCAACCCGUGACCUGAGCUUGAAAGCAAAGAACAGGAUGGUGCAGUAUCGCUGAGACCACAUAGUCUGUCAUACCAAAACCAGAGAUUAAGAUGGCACUGCGGAAUAAAACACAAGUUUCUCUGUCACACCCAGCCUACAUUUUUUCCUGAUGAGUUGAUCACUCCUAAUAAUUUCCACUAGCCUGAGAGAACAGAUAAUCUGUUUCCUAUAAAUACAAUAAACAGUGCUUCAAAGGACAUGGCAUUUACUCAGUUCAUCAUUUCAGUGAUUUGAAAUAAAUGUAAAAGGUGUAUAAAGCAACAUGCAGCAGGAUCCCGGGAGAGAGGGUCCCAGGCUGAGCCCCCAUUUUUGCUGCUGAUGAGUUGUGCCAUCUUAGGCCUGUUGCUUUAACCUUCAGCCUGGGUGCAUUUCUCUGCCUCCAUUAAGCAGAUAGUUAACACCUUUUAUAGGGUUCUUACAGUACUGUGUACUGUACAAUCUGUACAGUGCCUGGCAAUAAACUAGGUCCUGAUCUCAUCUGUGCCCUCGCUCCGUGUGACUGGAAAAUGACUGAUAAAAAAUAAUAAUAAGCUCUGAAUAAUUAUGUAUUGUCUUUAUGGUGAAGCAGGCCUUGAGCAUUGAGAGCUUUCCUCUGGGAGAAGUCCCAUUUAAAACAUCUCCCUGGUAUAAAAAUGAAUUGGAUCCUGUCACAUGAAUGGCCUGCAUUUACUAUUCCUUUCACUUACCUUCCAGUCGUUCAUUUUCAGAGCUGACUUGUGCCUGUUCCCUGGUUGUCAGCAGGAAUUGGUUAACAAGAACUUGCUGGAAGUGGAUUAUAAAGUAAACAAACACACACAGGAAGAACUGCUGACUCAGCAGAUGCAUUAUUACAACUAUGAUGUAAAACUAUCAAACAACAAAUGCAACUUCUGA
Molecule: long non-coding RNA, 1150 nt
Filed under: Strigops habroptila (Kakapo)
Lineage: Eukaryota; Metazoa; Chordata; Aves; Psittaciformes; Psittacidae
Description: lncRNA (ENSSHBG00005017834.1)
Source: RNAcentral